This is a non-coding RNA of Pan troglodytes (chimpanzee), 148 nucleotides long. It matches the Rfam family "Metazoan signal recognition particle RNA". From Rfam's summary of the family: The signal recognition particle (SRP) is a universally conserved ribonucleoprotein. It is involved in the co-translational targeting of proteins to membranes. The eukaryotic SRP consists of a 300-nucleotide 7S RNA and six proteins: SRPs 72, 68, 54, 19, 14, and 9. The record is from Rfam. Lineage: Eukaryota; Metazoa; Chordata; Mammalia; Primates; Hominidae.
GCCAGGUGUGGUGGCACAUACCUGUAAUCCCAGCUACUGGGGAGGCUGAGAUGGGAGAAUCGCUUGAACUCAGGAGGCAGAGGUUGCAGUGAGCUGAGAUCACGGCACUGCACUCCAGCCUGGGUGACAUGGUGAGAUCCCAUCUCAA